GGGGGGGGGGGGGGGGGGGCGGGGCGGGUGGGGGUCGGGCGGCGGCGCGGGGGCGGUCCGGGGGGCGGGUGGCGAACGGGGGAGUAAUACAGCGGAACGUGCCCGGUCGUGGGGGAUAACGUAGCGAAAGUUACGCUAAUACCGCAUACGAUCUGAGGAUGAAAGCGGGGGACCUUCGGGCCUCGCGCGAUCGGAGCGGCCGAUGUCAGAUUAGGUAGUUGGUGGGGUAAAGGCCUACCAAGCCGACGAUCUGUAGCUGGUCUGAGAGGACGACCAGCCACACUGGGACUGAGACACGGCCCAGACUCCUACGGGAGGCAGCAGUGGGGAAUUUUGGACAAUGGGCGCAAGCCUGAUCCAGCCAUUCCGCGUGCAGGACGAAGGCCUUCGGGUUGUAAACUGCUUUUGUACGGAACGAAAAGGCUCUGGCUAAUACCUGGGGCUCAUGACGGUACCGUAAGAAUAAGCACCGGCUAACUACGUG
RNAcentral lists this ribosomal RNA (484 nucleotides) under uncultured bacterium. Its description in RNAcentral is "partial 16S ribosomal RNA". It matches the Rfam family "Bacterial small subunit ribosomal RNA", at positions 38 to 507 of the family's 1533-position model. The record is from RNAcentral.